This 1477-nucleotide ribosomal RNA is filed under the name uncultured Bacteroidota bacterium. Its description in RNAcentral is "bacterial SSU rRNA". It matches the Rfam family "Bacterial small subunit ribosomal RNA". Lineage: Bacteria; Pseudomonadati; Bacteroidota. The record is from RNAcentral.
UAGGGGGCCUUUAUCCAUGCAAGUCGAACGGCAGUUGAGCAGCAAUGCUUGAUGAGAGUGGCUUUCGAGAUUCGCUCCCUGUCACCAGGUGGCUACCUUUAACAGGGGCCAUGAUAGCCCGUGAGAAAUUCUGGAUUAAUACCCCGUAGUAAUUAUCAGUGGCAUCACUGAUAGUUUAAAGCUGAGGCGGUUAGAGAUGGGCAUGCGUUCCAUUAGCUAGUUGGUGAGGUAAUGGCUCACCAAGGCUACGAUGGAUAGGGGACCUGAGAGGGCGAUCCCCCACACUGGCUACUUAGAACCACGGACCAGACUCCUCAACGGGAGGCAGCAGUAAGGAAUAUUGGGCAAUGGCCGCAAGGCUUCAAGACCCAGCCAUGCCGCGUGCAGGAAGACGGCCUUAUGGGUUGUAAACUGCUUUUGUCAGGGCCCAUUAAAUCCUUAUACUUGUAUAAGGUUGAAAGUACCUGAAGAAUAAGCAUCGGCUAACUCCGUGCCAGCAGCCGCGGUAUAUACGGAGGAUGACGAGUGAUUAUCGGGAUUCAUCGUGGGUUUAAAGGGUGCGCAGGCGGGCUAAUAAGUCAGGGGUGAAAUUCCACGGCUCAACUGUGGAACUGCCUUUGAUACUGUUAGUCUUGAGUUUAGUUGAGGUGGGCGGUUAAUGUAGCAUGUAGCGGUCCGAAAUGCAUAGCUAUGCUACAGAACACCGAUAGCGAAGGCAGCUCACCAAGUUAUAACUGACGCUCAUGCACGAAAGCGUGCCCUUAAAAUCAAACAAAAUUAGAUAACGCCCUGGUAGUCCACGCUGUAAACGAUGAUCACUCGUUGUUGGCCGAUAUAAAGUCAGCGGCUAAGCGCAAAGUGAUAAGUGAUCCACCUGGGGAGUACCUGAUCGCAGCAGGUUGAAACUCAAAGGAAUUGACGGGGGCCCGCACAAGCGGUGGAGCAGCCUUGUGGUUAUAAUUCGAUGAUACGCGAGGAUACCUUACCUGGGCUUGAACGUGUCUUGAUGUUAUUGGGAGAAAUCUCAAGUCCCUUCGGGGCGUUGAGCGAGGUGCUGCAUGGUUGUCGUCAGCUCGUGCCGUGAGGUGUCGGGUUAAGUGCCCAUAACGAGCGCAACCCUUAUCAUUAGUUGCCAUCAGGUAAAGCUGGGGACUCUAGUCCGAAACUGCCUACGCAAGUAGAGAGGAAGGUGGGGAUGACGUACAAAUCAGCACGGCCCUUACGUCCAGGGCUACACACGUUGCUACUUAAUGGCCGGUACAGAGGGCAGCCACCUGGUGUACAGGGAGCGAAUCUCGAAAGCCGGUCUCAGUUCGGAUCGAAGUCUCGCAACCGCGACUUCGUGAAGCUGGAAUCGCUAGUAAUCGCGCAUCAGCCAUGGCGCGGUGAAUACGUUCCCGGGCCUUGUACACACCGCCCGUCCGAAGCCAUGGGAGCCGGGGGUACCUGAAGUCGGUAACCGCGUAUAAAGGAGCCG